AAUCAGUUCUUUAAUUUUAAGAGUAUCUGAAUUAAAUGAUCAAUAACAAAUAUACUAGUUUACUUCAAGUAGCAUGGAAUAUGUGUAUUUUGUAAAAAGUCAACCAAAUGCUGAAAAUAGUGUAACUUUUAACUGUCAUGGUCUUUGUGUUAUGAGAUUUCUGCCUGUUAAAUUACGCCAUAGCCUUAAGGUGGGACAGCUGGGGCUAUGAGUGCCCUGGGUCAGGUCUCCUUUGAUAUGAACUUGGAAUAGCCAUCAAUUCUUCUAGCACUCAAAACUACGUUCACUGUAGAAAUAAAUGUCGACAUUGCCUUUUGAUUGGAAAGUAAAUCUCCUGAUAAACAUUAGCACAGAAAACUAGGUGAAUUCAAAUAGUCUUUAAU
This 383-nucleotide long non-coding RNA is filed under the name Homo sapiens (human). Its description in RNAcentral is "HSALNT0113317". The record is from RNAcentral. Lineage: Eukaryota; Metazoa; Chordata; Mammalia; Primates; Hominidae.